UCCCCAUCUGGCACUUCACGGUCACCGCAGCUACCCGGACACUCCCGGACCUCCGGGUCCUAGGCACCUCGAGGUGUCAGCGCAGCUCUGCGCUACACCGGUCGCCCCAAGCGACAACCACAAGGCUCCGUGUGGGAGUGAGACCCGGCCUCCACCAGCCCAGGGACCAGGAAGUGGCAGUGGUAGUCUGUGGGCUAGCAUUCCCCCUGGGUAGGUGUAUGAAAGCUGCAAACAAGGUUGCAUCAGGAGACCUUUCAGGAAGACCUGCCAUAGCUUUCUCCUCUGCUGCUAAUUUGAAGCAAGAGUCCUUUGCUCCCAGAAUCAGACUGCACUCAGAACCAUUGUUGGGGCAGUCUGGACACUGUUGCUGAGGAAGUCUGGAAACUGUGGCUGACCCAUUGUCC
This 404-nucleotide long non-coding RNA is filed under the name Mus pahari (shrew mouse). Its description in RNAcentral is "lncRNA (MGP_PahariEiJ_G0003630.1)". The record is from RNAcentral. Lineage: Eukaryota; Metazoa; Chordata; Mammalia; Rodentia; Muridae.